GACGGAGGGUGCAAGCGUUGUUCGGAAUCACUGGGCGUAAAGCGCGAGUCGGCGGGUUGAUAAGUCGAAUGUGAAAGCCCGUGGCUCAACCCCGGAAGUGCAUUCGAAACUGUCAGGCUUGAGCACGGGAGAGGGAAGUGGAAUUCCUGGUGUAGAGGUGAAAUUCGUAGAUACCAGGAGGAACACCGGUGGCGAAGGCGGCUUCCUGGACCGAUACUGACGCUGAGUCGCGAAAGCGUGGGGAGCAAACCGG
Molecule: ribosomal RNA, 253 nt
Filed under: uncultured bacterium
Lineage: Bacteria
Description: partial 16S ribosomal RNA
Rfam family: Bacterial small subunit ribosomal RNA
Source: RNAcentral